GUUGUGUUGGCUAGCUGUUGCUAAUAAUUAAGGAAACGUUAAGGGACGCAGAGGCGUACCAAAGCAACCGAAGCGGAAUGAACACCAGCAUCGAGGUUCGCCAACUUUUUUGCUUUGAUCGUUUCAUCUUAUUUUCAGCAGAGAGGUGAAAAAAAGUGCUCUUCUGCCACUAAUAAUACGGGCAUUCCUUCCUCUCUCUUCGCCCGCACCACCGUCACUCCCUCGCUCCUGCUCCUGCUCCGACGACGCCGUAAUCUCUCAUUUCUAAGAUCCGAAAAUCCUGACAAACUCCUCCGCCGCUCUUCCUCUCUCACCGACACACACCUCCACCUGACCUGAUCCUCCCCCCCACCUCCUACUGACGGUGACGACUUCAAAGGCUGGGCUUUUCUCGAAUCCACUCAGCAGAACAAGAAGAAAAGGUUGCCAAAAAUCGUAACUUCUGGGAUUGGUACCGAUGUUGCUGCUCUGUUAGCCGCCAUUGCAUACUUCUCUUUCUCUAGAAAUGGAUUUAAGUUCCGAUUUCGUGGUCCAAGUUCUAUUGAGACCACCAUAGUUGAUAAAACCGAAACUUUUGUGUUUGACGAAAAUGCUGCUACCGUGUCCAAGACAGCUUUGGAUGGUAUAUACGAUGAUACCGGCGCAACUCUCCCUAAAGCUCCCUUUUUUUCUCUAGGAAUCAGAAGCAUAGAAUUGUUCCAUCCAUAUCACUUUCUGGUUCGGUAAUUGCUGCAUUUCAUGACUUGUUUGUUGAAGAUCCAGAUUUUGAAUCCAUCCAAGGCCUUGCCGAGGCUGGCAUCAUACCCAGCAAGCUGUCAGGGAUGAAUUCCUGCUCUGAAAGUUCAGAUGAUGGAAGAUCUUGCUUUUCCCCCUAGAGGUUUAUUUCUCGGCAGGAUCUGAUCAACUGGAAAGCUCAAUUAGAGUAUGUGUUUUUGUCAGGAAUUACAGAACAUUCCAGAUGUCGAGGACAAAUUUAUGCUCAGAUGCAUCGCCUGAACUUUUUGGCAGGGGACAGGAGCAUUAUUAGAAUAUUUUUGGUAUCUACCCCUUCUCAUUUCCCUUCCCAAAUUUAUGCUCUUGUGAACUAUAACUAGAGAUGUUUUCAUUCUUGUUAACUUAUUGACAACAUAAAACUCAAGUGAUUAAAAGCAUUCUAUUGACUACCUUAUUCAAGACACCCCCCUCCACACAUAUUAUCUAUUUAUUAUUCAUGAAAGACACAUAUAAGCAAAUUCUAAUCUUAAUAUAUUCAAUCAGUUGGGUUCCUCUCUCUCUCUCUCUCUCACUCUGGUGUUUUUUUUUUGUUUCCUGCUUGAGAAAGAGCAAUCUGCAUUAGUAAAGCUUCUGCUGAUAUCUUAUUUCUGUGAGUGCCACUUAUUUUUUUAGCUUUCACUUUUUUUAGAAAAAACAAGAAAUGCCAAUUAGGCCAAAAGGGGCCUUAGGGUUGCAUUGUGAGUUUUAGAAUGCUGCCACCAUGCAGAAAAUGAAAUAUUGGGCUUGUGCCAAUCUUGUGGGUUGGGAGUCCAGCAAUUUCAAAGGAAAUGAACGGGAUUGGGAGUCGAGCAAUUUCAAAGGAAAUGUUCUUGUCAUAGAAUUGCAUAUGAAGAUUAUGAUUCCAUGGUUAAAUUUGCACAGGACAGAACAGGCGGUUUUAGCCAAAUAAACCUCUAACAAAGGCAUAGGCGGCAGUUGCUCUGACAAGUGGCAGGAUGUCUGAUAUAGUUUACAAUGAAAUAUUGAGGCUGGAAGCUGAGAAGUUAUUAAGGGAAGCUUCAAUGGAAGAAAUUAGGAAUGAAUUUCUUGAGAGAGAAGAUAUAAAAAGGUCUUGGAAUGAGAAGAUGAAUGAAGAAAAAAUUUGAGGUUUUGAGGUUGAGAAGCUUUAUAUUGCCAUUUUAAAUGAUUUGGAAGAGGAGAAAAUUGUACAGGUGAAAACUUAUGAGGAGUAUUUGAAGGACAAGGCAGCUAUGGAUUGUCAGAGGCAACUACUGCUCCGUCUCAAGGGAAAGGUUGGUGGGGGUGUCAGAAAGGCUUGCAUCUGAGAGGUCUGUGUAUGUGGCCGAGCAGUGUAAUCUGCAGGAAUUCCUCAGUGAAUUACAAUUGAAGCAGGGAAGGAUGCUUGAUGCAAAAUCUAUACUGGAAAGCUGAAAUUGAAGCUCUUUGAAUCCUCAGGUCUUGGGUGGAAGAUGAGGUAAGGAAAAGCCAAGGCCGAGCUAGGAGGUUGGACGAAGGUGGAAAUGGGACAAUCAGGCCUGAUUAUAACAGAGCAGAACUAUCCAAUAACUACUGCCUCUUUUCCCCAUGGAUGGCUAUAAAAGAUACCGUGGAUGUGAAAUUGGAUUGGUGAACUGUGAUGUGGGGAUUUGGUUUUGUGUCCUUAUUUGUAAUAUGGUCAUCAUUUAUGCUGUUACUUCUGGAUUAAUUAAUCAAGCAAUUAGUGAUUAUAUGAAUACCGGGGGAUGUUUCAGGAGCAUUUCUUCCUCUAAUCUGUUUCUAUUUAGUGGCAAGCCCCCAAUAGUUUGUUUUACCCAAGAGCCUAUGCUACUUAGAGCUGUAGUCAUAAAUGCCUUGGGCUGGGACAGGAUCUGUUUCUAAUUUUUCCGUUCAUUGAUUGUUCUUGAUGAAUGAAUGUAUUCUUGAUUUGAUGUUUGGAAUACCAAUCGAA
Long non-coding RNA from Populus euphratica (Euphrates poplar), 2662 nucleotides. RefSeq lists it as uncharacterized. Lineage: Eukaryota; Viridiplantae; Streptophyta; Magnoliopsida; Malpighiales; Salicaceae. The record is from RefSeq and is a predicted model, not a curated record. The transcript has 9 exons.